RNAcentral lists this long non-coding RNA (981 nucleotides) under Mytilus galloprovincialis (Mediterranean mussel). Lineage: Eukaryota; Metazoa; Mollusca; Bivalvia; Mytilida; Mytilidae. The record is from RNAcentral.
GCAAUUUCAUAUUCUUUAAUAAAACAGACAAUUAUACAAAAUUAAAAAAUAAAUAAGGGAUGGUAUGGAAUUCUCUGAUUAUGAAUAAUCUCAUAACAUUGAUUUCAAUUAUCCUAAAAAAAGUUCUGUUAACAACAUGAUUCUCCUGAAUUCGCCACUUACUCACAACAAAAAAUAAUAUAUGUUUCUUUCUAAACAAAGCACUAAUUCUUGGAAAAUUGCAAAUUUCAAAUCUUUAAUACCUGUGUUCUUUAAUAAACCCUGAUCAAAAACAAACAUAUUCAUAUACUUCUUUUUUACUCUUUUUAAUACCACACCAAUCACUCAUACAUUCAUUCAUUUGUGUCAACUUAAGGAAACCUUUUAGGAAGAAAUAAUAUACAGAAUCUUUUCUAAAAGAGGAACGAAAGAUACCAAAGGGACAGUCAAACUCAUAAAUAAAACAAAUUGACAACGCCAUGGCUAAAAUGAAUCACUGUAUUCUUUAAAUUCAUUGUCAAAUAGUCUUACUAGCUACAAUCACAUGAACAAAGUCGUUAAUUAAUAACUAAACUAAAUGAUCCUGUAAGGGAGCUUAUUCAAUCUAAACAAUAAUACCAAAACAAUGAUGUGUCCAAUGUUACAGAAGUCAAAUGCCCCACUGUUUUUCUUUAUAUGUGUUUACAGUGAAAAAGAAUUGAACUAGUGAGGUUUUGUCUCCAAAAACAAAAGUUUGGUCUUUCAUGUAAAGAGAUUGGUCCUUCUGAGGACAUUUUGUUCUGCUUGUGAAAAGAUAGAUCUACUGAGAACAUUUUGUCCUGUUUAUUAUGAGACAGCCAGUAGAAGGACUGGUAUUUUGAAGAUUUCAAAUAAAACUAGAGGCUCUAAAGAGCCUGUGUCGCUCAUCUUGUCUAUGUGAAUAUUAAACAAUGGAACAGAUGGAUUCAUGACAAAAUUGUGUUUUGGUGAUGGUGAUGUGUUUGUAGAUCUUACUUUACUAAA